RNAcentral lists this ribosomal RNA (81 nucleotides) under Bacteroides sp. The record is from RNAcentral. Lineage: Bacteria; Pseudomonadati; Bacteroidota; Bacteroidia; Bacteroidales; Bacteroidaceae.
CUCUUCCCAUUCCGAACAGAGAAGUUAAACCUUAUCACGCCGAUGGUACUGCGAAAGCGGGAGAGUAGGUAAUCGCCGCCU